This 21-nucleotide non-coding RNA is filed under the name Arabidopsis thaliana (thale cress). Lineage: Eukaryota; Viridiplantae; Streptophyta; Magnoliopsida; Brassicales; Brassicaceae. The record is from RNAcentral.
GUAUAAAUGUUGUCUAAACAC